This 300-nucleotide long non-coding RNA is filed under the name Chloebia gouldiae (Gouldian finch). RNAcentral's name for it is "Erythrura gouldiae (Gouldian finch) lncRNA (ENSEGOG00005011080.1)". Lineage: Eukaryota; Metazoa; Chordata; Aves; Passeriformes; Passeridae. The record is from RNAcentral.
GCCAGAAGUGCCUGCAUUUAAUGGAAGACAUAGAUUUUACCUUUGCAAAUCUCUAUGAAGAAAAACAUGGGACAAAUACUGAGAAGCUGAGGGCCUCAGCACAAGCACAGCUGGCUCAGCUGGGCCAGGUCCAGUUGUCUUCUCGAUGGAGUGAGUGGCUCCAGUGUGAGCAGUCCGGGGUCUCGAGCGUGCACACGCCAGGCUGGCUUUGACCACAGGAAUGAGCUGUUGGAGUACCUGAGAGCAACAGAGCAAAAAGAAAUCAGAAUAAAAGACAUUUGUUCUAAGUAUAAAUGUGCA